CAGUCGCCGCGGGAAUACGUAGGUGGCAAGCGUUGUCCGGAAUUAUUGGGCGUAAAGGGCUCGCAGGCGGUUUCUUAAGUCUGAUGUGAAAGCCCCCGGCUCAACCGGGGAGGGUCAUUGGAAACUGGGAAACUUGAGUGCAGAAGAGGAGAGUGGAAUUCCACGUGUAGCGGUGAAAUGCGUAGAGAUGUGGAGGAACACCAGUGGCGAAGGCGACUCUCUGGUCUGUAACUGACGCUGAGGAGCGAAAGCGUGGGGAGCGAACAGGAUUAGAUACCCGCGUAGUCCCUGUCUCUUAUAU
RNAcentral lists this ribosomal RNA (301 nucleotides) under uncultured bacterium. RNAcentral's name for it is "partial 16S ribosomal RNA". It matches the Rfam family "Bacterial small subunit ribosomal RNA", at positions 509 to 809 of the family's 1533-position model. The record is from RNAcentral.